UACCAGCACCCCGAGUGGUCGGGACGUUUAUUGGGCCUAAAGCAUCCGUAGCCGGUUCUACGAGUCUUCCGUUAAAUCCAACUGCUUAACAGGUGGGCUGCGGAAGAUACUAUAGAGCUAGGAGGCGGGAGAGGCAAGCGGUACUCGAUGGGUAGGGGUAAAAUCCGUUGAUCCAUUGAAGACCACCAGUGGCGAAGGCGGCUUGCCAGAACGCGCUCGACGGUGAGGGAUGAAAGCUGGGGGGAGCAAACAGG
This 254-nucleotide ribosomal RNA is filed under the name uncultured bacterium. RNAcentral's name for it is "partial 16S ribosomal RNA". It matches the Rfam family "Archaeal small subunit ribosomal RNA", at positions 474 to 727 of the family's 1478-position model. The record is from RNAcentral.